AGGUAAUUGACAAAAUCUACAAACCAUGGCAAUGCAUCAACAACUAGUAAUAACUUAUUUGAGAAGAACUCGUUAAUUUGCAAUUCCUCUUCAUUUCCAUCUUUACUCUCAUGCUUAAUCCUUGAUAGAUGAUCUGCUACAACAUUUUCAGCUCCCUUUUUAUCUUUAAUUUGUAAAUCAAACUCCUGUAGUAAUAGAACCCAUCUUAUCUGUCUUGGCUUUGCUUAUUUUUUAUUUAUCAAAUAUCUUAUGGCAGCAUGGUCUGUAUAGACAAUCACUUUUGAUCCAACCAGAUAUGACCUAAACUUUUCCACAGUAAAUACUACAGCUGAAAAUUUCUUCUCAGUGGUGGCAUAAUUUACUUGAGCAUCAUCUAAAGUUUUGCUGGCAUAAUAAAUUGCAUAAGGCCUCUUCUCUUUUUUCUGACCAAGUACAGCUACCACAGCAAAGUCACUAGCAUCACACAUAACCUCAAAUGGCAAUGACCAAUCCGGAGGUUGUAUAAUAGGUACUGUUGUUAGAGCUUCCUUUAA
This 533-nucleotide unclassified non-coding RNA is filed under the name Hevea brasiliensis (rubber tree). The record is from RNAcentral. Lineage: Eukaryota; Viridiplantae; Streptophyta; Magnoliopsida; Malpighiales; Euphorbiaceae.